RNAcentral lists this long non-coding RNA (270 nucleotides) under Elaeis guineensis (African oil palm). Its description in RNAcentral is "long non-coding RNA (EGUI_LNC004868)". Lineage: Eukaryota; Viridiplantae; Streptophyta; Magnoliopsida; Arecales; Arecaceae. The record is from RNAcentral.
UCUGGUAUCCGGGUCAGCUCUCUCAAAACUCGAGCUGAUUUAAUCUGAUCUGAGUCGACUCCUUCUAGAGCUGAGUCGACUCCUCUACUGGCAGAAGCCCUUUGCUUGGUUCUUUGCUCCACCUUGUGUCCUAAGUAUCUAGAGCCCCAACCAAGCUCCUCGAAGUCCUCAUCGCUGAACCUCGAGCCUAUGAAAACUAUGCACUACCUCCAUCCUAAGACCACUCCUGUCCUAGUCUAUGACUGUGCCCGUCAUAGUGAAUCUAGAGCC